RNAcentral lists this ribosomal RNA (513 nucleotides) under uncultured Ascomycota. RNAcentral's name for it is "eukaryotic LSU rRNA". The stretch from base 180 to 333 matches the Rfam family "5.8S ribosomal RNA". The record is from RNAcentral. Lineage: Eukaryota; Fungi; Ascomycota.
CAUUACAGAGUUCAUGCCCUAACGGGUAGACCUCCCACCCUUGUGUAUUUAUACUUUGUUGCUUUGGCGAGCUGCGAUGGGCUUAAUUGCCCAGAGCCCCGGGCUUCCCGGGAGUCGUUCGCCGGAGGAAAAAUAAAACCCUGAUAAUUAAUGUCGUCUGAGUACUAUAUAAUAGUUAGAACUUUCAACAACGGAUCUCUUGGUUCUGGCAUCGAUGAAGAACGCAGCGAAAUGCGAUAAGUAAUGUGAAUUGCAGAAUUCAGUGAAUCAUCGAAUCUUUGAACGCACAUUGCGCCCCUUGGUAUUCCAGGGGGCAUGCCUGUUCGAGCGUCAUUUCAACCCUCAAGCUCAGCUUGGUAUUGGGCAUCGUCGGUCACACGACGGGCCUUAAAAUCAGUGGCGGCGCCGUUGGGUCCUGAACGUAGUAAUAUAUUUCGUUACAGGUGCCCCGCGAGCUUCUGCCAUUAAACCCCCAAUUUUUUAUGGUUGACCUCGGAUCAGGUAGGGAUACCC